ACGACUCUCGGCAACGGAUAUCUCGGCUCUCGCAUCGAUGAAGAACGUAGCAAGAUGCGAUACUUGGUGUGAAUUGCAGAAUCCCGUGAACCAUCGAGUCUUUGAACGCAAGUUGCGCCCGAAGCCUUUCGGCCGAGGGCACGUCUGCCUGGGCGUCGAA
This 160-nucleotide ribosomal RNA is filed under the name Acridocarpus plagiopterus. RNAcentral's name for it is "5.8S ribosomal RNA". It matches the Rfam family "5.8S ribosomal RNA". Rfam says of the family: 5.8S ribosomal RNA (5.8S rRNA) is a component of the large subunit of the eukaryotic ribosome. It is transcribed by RNA polymerase I as part of the 45S precursor that also contains 18S and 28S rRNA. Lineage: Eukaryota; Viridiplantae; Streptophyta; Magnoliopsida; Malpighiales; Malpighiaceae. The record is from RNAcentral.